CCCCCUUAUAAACUGCUUUAUUUACAGAACUAGAAAAAAAUGUAAAAUACAAAGGUUGUUCGAUUUUUUUAGUUAUGAUUUUUUGACAUAUAUAUCGUACUAGUGACGUCAUCCAUCUGGGCGUGAUGACGUAAUCGACUAUUUUUUUGAAUGGGAAUAGGGGUCGUGUGCUAGCUCAUUUGAAAUGUUAUUCAAUUCUCUAUACAGUACUAUAAACAUUAAGAUCAUUAUUUAAACAGGGUGUCCAAAAAUUUUUUUUGAAUUAAUAGUUAAACAAUUAAUUUAAUUAAAAAUGUUUUUGGACACCCUGUAUAAUUAAUAAUCUUAAUGUUUAUAGUACUGUAUAGAGAAUUUAAUAAACUUUUAAAUGUGCUAGCACACGACCCCUAUUCUCAUUUAAAAAAAUAGUCGAUUACGUCAUCACGCCCAGAUGGAUGACGUCACUAGUACGAUAUAUAUGUCAAAAAAUCAUAAUAAAAAAAUCGAAUAACUUUUGUAUUUUACAUUUUUUUCUAAUUCUGUAAAUAUAGCAGUUUACAACUGCGUCAAAAUAUAGUGAAUAACCCUGUACCUUCACUGGGGCCGACCGACCGGCUCUGUCCCGUCAUACAGCUGACCAACUAUAAUAACUUUUAUUUAUAUUUAAUUUAGAAUGUGUGUACUGAUUUUCAGCCUUAGUAAAUGGAUUUAAUUACCUUCGUAGGAAAGCAACUUUGAUACCCUCUCAGUAAACCCUGUUCUACGUUUCGCUUGACCGACCGCAGUAUGUUUCUCUACACAAUCACAGUAAUCAACUGUGAAAAAUCUAGCUUUAGUAAAUUCAAAGAGAUUUUUCAGCGCUGCCUCUUGGACUAUUAUCUACUACGACUACUGUACUAAACCUUAUAUGAAAAUGCAGGUAAUGAACAUCAGAGCAUAUGGAAUAAAGUUAACAAGAGUCCACAAUAUAACCUAUUUGGGCGCCAACGUUAACGAAAACUGGAAUAUAAACAACGAAAUGAAUACGCAUUGAUAAAGACAAAGUUGCCUUCUAUAAACUAAGGAAAAUUCUGAUUAAUAGAGAUAUUAGAUUAAACCUUAAAAUCAGAUUGAUACGAUGCUACACAUUGCUGUAUGGCAUGGAGAGGUGGAUUCUUACAGGCACGAAUGAAAGAACUGAAAGACCAGGAAGGCGAAGGAUUUCCUGGCUGAAAAACCUACGUACGUGGUUCAACACAACAACCACAAAUCUUUUCAGAGCAGCAGUAUGCAAAGUGCAGAUUGCCAUGAUGGUCGCCAACAUCCGAAACGGGUAGGCACUACAAGAAGAAUUCUAUUACAACGCUCACAUCGUCAAUGACAGUGACAAUCUGUCGAUGUACCAAAAUAAAAGUCACUAGUAAUACAGGAUUGCUAACUUAAUUUAUGAUUUAGGCUAAUAAAUAGUCACACUUGAUGCUACGUUCAUCCCCAAAAUAAGUUAGAGGCCACAGUUUCAGACACACCCAAUGAUCUGAAAUUGUGACCUCGAACUUAUGUUGGGAUUGAACGAAGUCAUAAUAUAUAAGGAAAUGAAUAAUUUAUCGAAUUUAUGAUAGAUUUGUCUUAAAUAGAAUUUGGCUAGACAUUUUUUAUUAAAAAUAUAACGAUUGUAUAUAAAUUGAAUUAUGAGUUUUGUUUUUAUUUAUUUAGAAAUUAUAUUCAGUAAACGAUUAUGUUAGGGCUUUCAAACAUUUUGAUGUGUUCUUUAACACUGUACAUAAGUAGAAUGACUGAUCUAUUAGAAUUCUUUAGGCAAAAAUUGUACAUAGAUUCGUUGAUUUUUUGUUAAAAUUUUAACAAGUUUUUAUAUUGUAUUUUUGUAGUUAUAACCAGUAGAGACAGAAGGUAAACUUAUUCACUAGCAUAAUGUAUUUAUUAUCAUGUUUUUUAUUUAAUUAAACUAAAUCUAAAAUUAUAGUUAGUAUAAUGGAAUGUAUACAGUGUGUUCGGAAAAGAUCCAACGUCAUGUAGAACACUUUGUAUAUUUGGAACUCUAACGUUCUACAGGACGUGCAAGUGUAUUGAAUUAGACACUACCUCCAUAUGGUUCCUCGACGAGAAAAAUUAAACUUACAAGGUGAACCGACAUUACUUGAUAUCCCUCAAGAUGAUGUACAACGGGUCGACAAUUAAAGAAAACAUCACAUUUUAGUUUGUAAUUGUAAUGGCUCACUUUGUAAAUAUUAGUCGGUUUUGAGGUAAAAGAAAUUUUUGAUGUUUCCUGACGCGUACAUUAUAAAAGACGCGUUUAAGAUAUAAGAGUACUCAAAUGAAAAAGUUUUUUAAUUUUUGAUGAAGGCAAAGAGAAAGAAGGAUAUAGAUUUCAUUAUAAUAAAUACUACGUUCAUCUCCAAGAUAAGUUCGAGGCCUCAGUUUCAGACACAUUCAAUGAUCUGAAAAUGUGUCUGAAACUGUGACCUCGAGCUUAUUUUGGGAUUGAACGAAGUCAUAAUAUAUGAGGAAAUGAAACUACGUCCAUCCCCAAGUUAAGUUCGAGGCCACCGUUUCAGACACAUUAAAUGAUCUGAAAGUGUGUCUGAAACUCUGACAUCGAGCUAAUCUUGAGAUUGAACGAAGUCAUAAUAUACAAGGGAAUGCUACUACGUUCAUCUCCAAGAUAGUUCGAGGCCGCAGUUUCAGACACAUUCAAUGAUCUGAAAAUGUGUCUGAAACUCUGACACCUAGCUUAUCUUGAGAUUGAACGAAGUCAUAAUAUAUAUGGAAAUUAUACUACGUUCAUCCCCAAGAUAAGUUGGAGGCUAUAGUUUCAGACACAUCCAUUGAUCUGAAACUGUGACCUCGAGCUUAUUCUGAGAUUAAACGAAGUCCUAAUAUAUAGGGAAAUGAUACUAUGUUCAUCUUCAGGAUAAGUUCGAGGCCAUAGUUUCAGACGCAUCCAUUGAUCUGAAACUGUGACCUCGAGCUUAUCUUAAGAUUGAACGAAGUUCCUUGAGCUUGUCUUGGUAUUGAACGAACUAUAGUAACAAAAAUGGUCUUCUGUCAUGAUUGGAUAUGGUGGCAUUAUUAAACCCCAAUAACAUGCUAUCUUUACUAUCUUCAAACAAAGUCGUUCCUCAAAAACACUGACAAUACAAUUUUAACGUUGUCAUAAUAUACAAGGGAAUUAUACUAUGUUCAUCCUCAAGAUAGUUCGAGGACACAGUUUCAGACACAUCUAACGAUCUGGUGUCUGAAUUUGUAACCUGUGAAAAUUUGAGCAUAUGUAAGUACAUUAUUGGCGUUAAUAAUCGUAAAAAAAUCAUGACAAAUUUCUUACUCUGACAAAAAGCAUUUUGAAGUUACUAUAACUAGGUUGUCUGUACUUGUAGCUUUCCAUAUAUGUAAUAAUGGCCUUAACCAAAAUUAAAGAAUUUUGAAUCUGGUACUAGAAUAUUGUAGAUAAGAAUAGUUUUCUUUUCGUAAUUAGUUCCUGUUUAAAAAUUUCUUAUAUCUCUGCAAGUAGCAAUGGUUUAAAAUAAAAAAUGCAGCUAUUUUCUCAUGUUGUACAGAUGCUCCCAUUAAGAGAUAAAAAAUAUCGUAUUGUUUCGAGAAAGUAGACAAUUGGACGCUUAGCGUAAUAGGAUUGGAUUGUAGAUGUGUUUGAAAUAUACAUAUAUUAAACAAUUUUAAAACUUUUAAAUUAAAUUUAGGUUUUCUAUUAUCGUGUUUGAUUAUUAUAUAUUGGAAGUUUUGAGAAUUUGAUUCUAGUUGUUAAAGUUGGUCAGUUUAAUCCUGUACUUUCGCACGUAGGGAAAAUAAAAUUGAUUGAAAUAAAUAAUUGAGAAUUACUCUUCUUUUGGUUUAAAUAAUCGUAGGUCCUUUAUUUCUUACCCUUUCGUUUUUUCGCUCUGCAUAUCACAUUUAAUUAAAAACUUAUAUCUCCACUCAUUUCAUAUAUUCUGCUACAACGGUAAUACAAGUAAUUCCGGUAUGUAGUGUACUAUUCAAAUAGUUUUAUUUUUUAACACACAUUCCUGAUGGUUUAUUUUUAUUUGCUAAGCUUUCUCAAGUUGUAGACUUCUCUAUAGAUUCUUCGUCUUUAUAAGCAAUUCUGCUUGUUUAUCGGUGGAUUGAUACCUCUAUGGAAGGUAUCUUAUCACUCCAUCUUUUGCGCGGUCGUCCGAUUAUCUUCUACCGAUUUGUGAUUUAUCUUUUGCUAUUUUGACCACACGGGUCUCACCCAUCCUGCUUAUGUGGUUAUUUCAUUCUUUUUUUCUAUUUAAUGUCUUCUUCUUUAUAUGCUCUACGUUACAUUUUCUUCUAAUGUCUUCACUCCUCUUUCGAUCUCUCAGUAUAUUUCCGAUAAUUCUUCUCACUACUCUCAUCUCUGCUGUUUCCAGUAGUCGUUGUGUUGGGUCUUAUUUCUGAUGCAUGUCAUUAUAGGUGUUACAAUGGCUUUAUAAAUUCUUGUCAUCCCGUCAGUCUAUUUGUUUUUUGUACUUGAUGGCUCACUUCUUUGUCCAGGUCUCUAGUCCAAGAGGCAGCGCUGAAAAAUCUCUUUGAAUUUACUAAAGCUAGAUUUUUUACAGUUUAUUACUGUGAUUGUGAAGAGAAACAUGCUGCGGUCGAUCAAGCGAAACGUAGAGCAGGGGUUACUGAGAGGGUAUCAAAGUUGCUUUUCUACGAAGGUAAUUAAAUCCAUUUACUAAGGCUGAAAAUCAGUACACACAUUCUAAAUUGAAUAUAAUGCAGUCACUGAAGGUGGAUAUGAGCUAUUACCUCCGAUUUCGUUGAACCUCCGUCGAUUUGCAUGAAGAUUGGUGAGUGGUUAGUGGAUAUCUCAAGGAAUAAAGGUGACAUGGUGCCAACUUGCGCUUUUCCCUGGGGGUGGGUGCCACCCCUUCUCGCGGGUGAAAAUUAUUUAAUUAAAAAUAAUUACAUAAUUCGAUAGGGGGACAAAUUCUAAGUAAAAUUUGUUAUGUAAAGUUAUUAAAAUAAAUCAAAACUUUUUGGGUUAUUAAAGAUCAAAGAUUUUAAUUUUUCGUGAGAAAAAUGCAUGUUUUUAACCGAUUUUUCAUAAAUAACUUAAAAACUAAUAAGUUUUUACAAAAAAGUUAUUAUUACCAAAAUUGAAGCUAAUACAAAAAGAAAUAAACCACUUACUAAAAAAACCUUUUAAUGUUGACUAAAAGCAAGUUAUAGGUAAUUGAAUGUAUAUUUCUUUCGGCGAGUACCCAAAUCUAAGUUUUCAAGCUUAAAUAACGGGAAAAUGAUGCAUUUAUAAAAUAGACUUAUUAAACAUUUGUCAAAGUACUUAGAAAUAUCUAUCAAAUGAGUCCUCAAACAAGUUGAUAACAUUAAAAUUUAUGCUCCAAAAUUUUUUCAAAAUUUAUCUUUUAAAGUUUUUUCCAAAAAAUGUUUUUUUUAAAUAACUCCGUUAAUUGUUAGGAUAUAAGGUUCACCUAAAAACUAUUUGAAAGUUAUUUCCAAGUAAAAUUAAACAACGUUGAAUUUAAUCUUUUAAACUCCUUACUUUUUUAAAAAUAAAAGGUCAAAUGGCCCCGGUUAUAUGGUUCUCGCAGCAAAAUUUAAGCUUUAAACGUUUCUAUCUCGGUUAUUUUUUACCCUACAGAAAUAAUAAAAAAGGUAAAAUAUUUGAUAUAGAAAAAAGUAAAAUUUGGUUAUUUAUCAUUUUUUACGUAUAUUGAGUAUUUUGGAGUUAUUAUCAAAAGAAAAUGAAAAUUACGAUCAUUUUAAAAAUUCUGAUUUUUUUAAUUAUACCUUUUUUUCAAAAAUUUUUAUUCUAAACCGGUAAAAGUUUUUGAAAUCAUUACUUAUGCUAACAUAAAGAAAUUAUUUUAAGGAUUACUAUAAAUUUUAAUUUUUAUGGAAAUGGGGUAUGUUUUAUUUUUCACUUUUUCCUAAAAAAUUCGAAAGGGUUGUCUUAUUUUCAUCAUAACUUGCUUAAUUUUAAUGCUACUAUAUUAUUCUGAAGCUCAGUUGAUAGGUAAUCCUAAGUGCUUUGACAAGUUCUUAACAGGUAUAUUUAUAAAAGGCAUCGUUUUCCCGUUAUUUAAGCUUGAAUACUUAGAUUUGAGUACUCGUCGAAAAAAAUUUACAUUCAAUUACCCAUAACUCACUUUGACUUAAUAUUAGUUUAGUUCCUUAGGUAAAGAGUGUACUCAAUUUUUUAUUAUCUUCAAUUUUGUUAAUAAUAACUUUUUUGUAAAAGCCUAUGGUUUUUGAGUUAUACGUGAAAAACCGCUUUAAAGCAUGAUUUUUUUUACGAAAAAAUAAAAUCUUUGAUCUUCAAUAACUCAAAAAGCAUCGAUUUAUAUUAAUAACUUUAUAUAACAAAUUUUGCUUAGAAUUUGUCCUUAUAUCGAUUUAUGUUAUUUUUUUGAUAAAAGAAUUUUCACCACCGAGAAGGGGUGGAAUCCACCCCUAAGGUAAAAGCGCAAAUUUGCAUCAUGUCACCUUUGUUGCUUGAGGUAUCCUCUAACUACUCACCAAUUUUCAUGAAAAUCGAUGGAGGUUCAACGAAAUCGGAGGUGAAAACCUUCAGUGACUCCACUAAUAUAAAUAGAAGAUAUUAUAGUCGGUCAGCUGUAUGACGGGACAGAGCCGGUCGGUCGGCCCCAGUGAAUGUACAUGAUUAUUCACUAUAUUUUGACCCCCCUUGUAAACUGCUUUAUUUACAGAAUUAGAGAAAAAUGUAAAAUACAAAAGUUAUUCGAUUUUUAAAUUAUGAUUUUUUUACAUAUAUAUCGUACUAGUGAUGUCAUCCAUUUGGGCGUAAUGACGUAAUCGACUAUUUUUUUAAAUGGAAAUAGGGGUCGAGUGCUAGCUCAUUUGAAAGGUUAUUCAAUUCCCUAUUCAGUAAUAUAAACAUUAACAUGAUUAAUUAUACAGGGUAUCCAAAAAAAAAUUUUUAAUUAAAUUAAUUGUUUAAUUAAUAAUUCAAAAAAAUUUUGGACACCCUGUAUAAAUAAUGAUCUUCAUAUUUAUAGUACUGAAUAGAGAACUGAAUAACCUUUCAAAUGAGCUAGCACACGACCCCUAUUCUCAUUAAAAAAAAUAGUCGAUUACGUCAUCACGCCCAGAUGGAUGACGUCACUAGUACGAUAUAUAUGUCAAGAAAUCGAAUAACUUUUGUAUUUUACAUUUUUUUCUAAUUCUGUAAAUAAAGCAGUUUACAAGGGGGUCAAAAUAUAGUGAAUAGCCCUGACAUUCAUUGGGGCCGGCUCUGUCCCGUCAUACAGCUGACCGACUAUAAUAACUUUUAUUUAUAUUCAAUUUAGAAUGUGUGUACCGAUUUUCAACCUUAGUAAAUGGAUUUAAUUACCUUCGUAGGAACGCAACCUUGAUACCCUCUCAGUAACCCCUGCUCUACGUUUCGCUUGAUCGACCGCAGUAUGUUUCUCUACACAAUCACAGUAAUCAACUGUGAAAAAUCUAGCUUUAGUAAAUUCAAAGAGAUUUUUCAGCGCUGCCUCUCCGUCUACUCCAUAGAUGCCAUCAAUUUCUAGUUUAUAUCUGAUUGAGUUCUUUCACCUUGAUUACUGUUGUUUUUUUUUUCUUAGUUGGGAUUGUUAUAUUAAUUCUUAUGCUCGUAUGUUACAUGUGUGGACUAGUAUGUGCAGACUAUCUUCAUCUUAGGCUAUCAAAAUUGGGUCUACUGCGUAACAAGAGUAUUUUUACUUCUUCAUGUCGAAAUCUGUACACUCUUUCUUUGCUUACAUUUUCGAAGAUUUCAUCGAUGAUUAAAUUGAAGAGCAAGCGGCUUAAUGAAUCAACUGUAAGUUGUCUAUCUUAGCAAUUGUCCAUAAGCAAUUUUGCUUGUUCUUGUGUCCGCCAUUCUGUUGAUGUGAUUGUUCCAUUCUUUUUCUAUUUAGAGUCCACUCGUUUAUACUCAGUAUUAGUUCUGAUCUCGUUACUUCUUAUUCAGUCUCUCAGCGUGUUGCAUGUAAUUUUACUGAGUAUUCUCAUUUUUGCAAUUUCCAGCAUUUUCUGUGUUUUGACUCUCAGGACGUGUUACUGAUGCGAAUGUCAUUAUGGGUCUUAUGCUGGCCCUUAUACUGAUUUCAUAUCACAGUUACGCCAUAUAGUGUUAAUGAGGCUUUUUUCAAUGACUCCAUUUCAUUACUUCAUUUCCAUUACUUGUUCAACUCCAUAAACUUCCAGUUUUCAUAUGAUCCGUUCUUUACUGAAUACUAUGGUUCUAGUCUUCUUAGUUAAAGGUACUGUAGUUGAUUGGAUAUAAUAAGAGAUUAUUUAUGAAGACAAUGAGGCCGACUUUACUUAGUAACAGGACAACGGUUACUAAGUUAUACAGUGUCAACUGUUACAAACAAUACACGCUAUCACAUGUACAGUAAGCCAAUUGGCUGCGGUAAGACGAAAAAAGCACCAUCUGCAUUCCACUUAGAAUAGUAGAUGAAUAUCUGAAACGCUAAUUUAUGGUAAGAAUCUAUAACUCUUUCUUUUGUAGAACAUCACCCUUGUAUCGAGUAUAACAUUGCGUAGAUAGGACUGCGUAUUUCUUAUGGACGAUAGAAGCGCGCCGAUGCCGCUUCUAUCGUAUCGAGAAUGAAUCUUAUAUUGGCAAACUAGUAGCAACACCUGCUGGAGAGUUUUGGCAACACUGAUCUGCAUAAGUCAAACGUUCCAUUCUUAACGUGAAAUAAAGAAUAGUACCACUAUAUCGUCACAUUUUCUCAUUGAAUACUUUUACUGUUGACUGUAUUUGCCCAUUUUGUUAUAAAUAUUUUUCCAAUAAAUAAUGUUGUUGAUUGUAAUUUUGUUAGUUGUGCGACUGUUUAAUAACGUCUUAGUGGAUUGCCUAGUGCACACUGUGCUUGUUGGCAGUAGAGGAUUAAAUUUUAUGUGGAGGCUGUUGUGUGGCAAAAUAUGGAUUAAGUAUAUAUUAGAUUAUGUAGCAAAUUGUAUAACGUAUCAUUGUUUUUGAUAAAUUAUUUAACCAAAAUCGAAAUAGUGCGAGUAAUAUUUCUGCAAGGAGCAUCUAGUAUAAUACAACUGUACAUAAUGUUUCGUUUUGUUAAAGGAAAUGCAAAAUGUUUCUUUUGUAUAUAUAUGUUAAUGAGAAUCUUGAAAUUCUACCUUUUAUAUUUAUUCUAAUACUAGGUAGGCUAUGAAACUCUAAGCGAUAUUAUAAAAAACGCUAAGAGCGAUUGUUGGAGAAGAAUGAUUUAUACCAGUCAUAGUAAAUUUUUGAGCUUUUUCAAAUAUAAAGCUCCGCAAUUUUCAAGAACUAAUUUAAAUAAAUUCUUGAGGCAUACGAACCUACAUUUAAAUGAUUUUUCUCCAUGGUUUUAAAUAUAUCCAACUUGAUUAAGGACUUGUUAUCCUCAGAUUUAGUUAUCAUGGUGAAUUAGAAUAUAGAUGCUUUGGAAUCACACGUAAGUUCCUUAACUGAUACAUCUCUGUCACGAUCUCAGACUACAAUAAAAUUGGUAGUAUCAAUUACAAAUAAUUGCGGUUUAGACUCGGCUUUGUGACUGCGAUUGUGAUUUAGGCUAUGGAGGACAUUAGUUGAUUAGUUUUCACUUCGGUAUGGGAAAAAAAUUCAUAAAUAUAAAAGUUUCUACAAGGUUACCGUUUAUCUUUUAUCCGUUUUAAAAGAUUUGCAAGUGAAAUAUAUGUAGGUUUAGUUAAAGACAAUCGUAAUAAAAGUCCGUGUGAUGUUUAACAGUUUUAAUUAAUAAAAUAGAUAACUAAAUUAUAGAUACUAUUAAAUUGACGAAAUGUAAAAGUGUUUGUGUAAUUGCGACUAAAAUUUUACGAGUUCUCACAAAAGAAAAUGUCUUUGAAAUAAUCGCGUUUAUCUACUUAAUAUAUGACUGGGUUGUCAAUAUAUUAGUACGUCUUAAACUUCGCGUCCUUUCGAUUAUCGCCAAAUACAGCCUCUUUCAUUCGAAUCUAAAAAUCAACUGCUUCUUGCACCCCCUACGCUAAAACAAAUUCUCUUACAUCUAAUCUCCCUUUUCCGUUUUCCCCUGAGAACCAACCUAUUAAAAUUGGAUCAAAGUAUGUACAGACUUUUUCCAAUAAACGAAAACCAAUAAAAUUAGUCAAGACGGCUACUGUUUAUCUUAAACUCCGAUUCCAGACGAUUCGCACAUGUGGCAUAUGUGUUUGUAUGCGUGAGACCCUUUUUCGUGCUUGUAAUAAUAAUUAAGAAAAAAUAUAUACAGUAGACUUAAAAAUAUGUAUAAGGUAAAAUAUUUACAACUCUACAUAUAUAUACAAAGAAUUACACAUAAAUAUUAAUUAAAUAAUGCACUGAACUUCUGCAAGUGGAAUUGACCCCCAAAAAGAGACAAAUAUGGGAACAAUAUUUGGAAAAUCGUUUUCACAAUAGACGACGCAAAUAUUGAAGUAGUAAAACAGCUCACAUACAGGGGCGUACUGAUAACUGAGGACGGCAGCGAGGGGAGGGAAUACGGAAAAGAAUAAUGCUUGCAAAAUAUUCUCUCUAUUCAAAGACAUCCAUAGGGAAGUAAAAAAAAUAUAAAAGCAUCAUACGACCAAUAGCAACAGCAACAUAUGGCUUAGAAAAAUAGAUCAUGUCAGAGAAGACAAUAAACAUCAAUAUUUUGAAACAAAGAUGUUAAGAAGGAUAUCGGGACCCACCUGCGACAGUAAUUGUAUGUGGAGGAAUAAGGUUUAACCACGAAUUGUAUCAAUAUUGCAAAGAACCCUCCAUAGAAAAUUAUGCAAAAAUACAAAGAUUGUACUGGGCAGGUCACCUUAUAAAAAUGAAAAAUAAAAGAACACCUAAUAGAACGCUUAGCGUAACUAUGGUAAGAUGACGGUCAGUAGGAAGACAAAGGAAGAGGAAGAUAGACGAAGUGCAAACCGAUCUUAAAGCGUUAAGAGAGAGAGAUUUGGAGGCUCGUAUUUGGUGAUUAAAGAACGUCUACAAAUAGACAACCAAAAUGCAAAUAAUUUUUAGUUCAAUUCAUAACACUUGUUAAAAAAAAGACGGUAACACCGAUUAUAUAAAAUAUAAAACAAGGUUUUUGUCAGUAAUACAUUUUGUUUCUCCUAGUAUUUAAUACAUAUUCCAGAUCAUCCAAAUGGUACUAUAAUAAAUAAAAUCAUAAAUAAUAAUGCCGAGUAUGUGGUUAAUACUGUUAUAUUAGCUGAAUCGAAAGAGAAAAUAACAGCUUUAAUAGACGAACUAUUAAAAGAAAACCACAAGAUAAUUUUGAAAUCAAUAUUUCAAAAAAGGAAAAUGCUGUGUUCAAUAGCACCCUCCAAAAAAAGGGUAGCCUACAUGUAUUUCUAUAUGGACAGAGCAAAGUGGACCACUACAAAGAAAUUUGAGAGAAAUUGAAAUAGCAAGACCUGGUUUAUGAACAUGAGUAACAUCGCUGUCACCAAAAAUUUUCAUUAUAAUAAAAUUUCUAAUGUUACAAUGCUAUGUAAGAAACAUGUACACUGAAACAAGAAGACAAAAGACUAAACGUACCUAUUCGAAAUUUUCAUAGAAACCUUACCAUAACUAUGAUAACAUCCAGCCUCCGCUAGGAGAAGGAACUUUAACAGUAUUCUGUUUCAAAACUAAAAUGUCAAAAGUUCCUCCAAAAUUGCCUGGUUCUUUUAAAACGGUAGCAAUAUUUUGAGAUGUAUAUUGCGUAUACAGCACCGUAUCUUUAUCUUUUACGAUUACGAGUUUAUAUCUCGAGACAUAUCUUUUACAUGAUGUUCCAAAAGAAUCAAAACGUGUGACAUUUAGCCCAAAACACUAAAAAAUAUGUAAAAUUUCGUAAAAAAAAAUACCUAAAAAAACUUGCAUGUGCAUAAGUGCUAAAAUUAUGUGUUCAAUGUGGAAUUAUAACGUAUAUCUGAGGAUUAUUAGCCCUUGACAUAUAUUUCUUAUGUAUUUAUAUACCUAGUUGUAAGGGUUUGAGAAAAGAUUCAUUUUUUAAAUUUAAAAAAGCAUUUUUUAUCUCAACUUUUGAUCUUGUUUUAAUGAUUAGACUGAUACGUUUUAGGUAAUUUUUGUCUGUAUUUAGACUUGAUUGUUGGACAUUAAAUAAAUUAUUGUUUUUGUCUGCCCUAAGAAUGUAAUAGUCUCAAUUUGUUUUGAAAAUUUUGUGAAUACAGGAUGUUUAAAGAUUGUUAAAAUAAGUUUAAUUUUACAGGACCAUAAAAUUAAACUAAAUUUUUCUUGGACUGUAAAAUAAAGUAAAAUAUAAAGCUACUUCAAUACAA
Molecule: long non-coding RNA, 12201 nt
Organism: Diabrotica virgifera virgifera (western corn rootworm)
Lineage: Eukaryota; Metazoa; Arthropoda; Insecta; Coleoptera; Chrysomelidae
Exons: 2
Source: RefSeq, a predicted model, not a curated record